Ribosomal RNA from Lupinus angustifolius (narrow-leaved blue lupine), 119 nucleotides. Lineage: Eukaryota; Viridiplantae; Streptophyta; Magnoliopsida; Fabales; Fabaceae. The record is from Rfam.
AAGUGCGAUUAUACCAGCACUAAUGCUCUUUAUCCCAUAAGAACUCCACAAUUAUGCAUGUUUAGGCAAGAGCAAUACUAGGAUGGGUGACCUCCUCGGAAGUCCUCGUGUUACACCUC